This 616-nucleotide ribosomal RNA is filed under the name Bacillus licheniformis. Its description in RNAcentral is "bacterial SSU rRNA". It matches the Rfam family "Bacterial small subunit ribosomal RNA", at positions 239 to 845 of the family's 1533-position model. Lineage: Bacteria; Bacillati; Bacillota; Bacilli; Caryophanales; Bacillaceae. The record is from RNAcentral.
CAUUAGCUAGUUGGUGAGGUAACGGCUCACCAAGGCAACGAUGCGUAGCCGACCUGAGAGGGUGAUCGGCCACACUGGGACUGAGACACGGCCCAGACUCCUACGGGAGGCAGCAGUAGGGAAUCUUCCGCAAUGGACGAAAGUCUGACGGAGCAACGCCGCGUGAGUGAUGAAGGUUUUCGGAUCGUAAAACUCUGUUGUUAGGGAAGAACAAGUACCGUUCGAAUAGGGCGGUACCUUGACGGUACCUAACCAGAAAGCCACGGCUAACUACGUGCCAGCAGCCGCGGUAAUACGUAGGUGGCAAGCGUUGUCCGGAAUUAUUGGGCGUAAAGCGCGCGCAGGCGGUUUCUUAAGUCUGAUGUGAAAGCCCCCGGCUCAACCGGGGAGGGUCAUUGGAAACUGGGGAACUUGAGUGCAGAAGAGGAGAGUGGAAUUCCACGUGUAGCGGUGAAAUGCGUAGAGAUGUGGAGGAACACCAGUGGCGAAGGCGACUCUCUGGUCUGUAACUGACGCUGAGGCGCGAAAGCGUGGGGAGCGAACAGGAUUAGAUACCCUGGUAGUCCACGCCGUAAACGAUGAGUGCUAAGUGUUAGAGGGUUUCCGCCCUUUAGUG